AUAUACAUAUACAUAUAUAUAUAUAUACAUAUACAUAUAUAUAUAUACAUAUAUAUAUAUAUAUAUAUAUAUACAUAUACAUAUAUAGUAUGGCUAUAUCAUGUGGUGAAAGAAAAACAAUUAGACAAACAUUGCAGUAUAAUAAUGUGCAUCACUUCAGAGAUGAAGUGAAUAAUUUAGAUCUACUGAAUACGGUUUCAAGAACUAGCCUUUACUAAUACUUUAUGCGCAUAUGGAGAACUGUAUUUUACUAAGGUGUUGUUAUACAGUUAACUUUUAUUAGUUGCACCUGUAGGCCUACUAUAUUAUGGUGUCAGAAAGGUUAUGGCUGUGUGUCAGUACUGACCCCAAUAUUAUUUUAUGGUUGUUGGGAAAGAUUUCAUAAAAUAAAUACAGUAUAGAUUUCUUAUGAAAAAAUGUAGUUCGCAAAUUAUUUAUCAUAAAAUAAAUAAAAAAUAAUAGGUCGAUUUAUAAGGCGCAAAUAAACAAGGUCUUUAAGUGCCAUGUCCAAGUAAAGAAAAGGUAAGGUGAGCGUAAAGAAAUAAACAAAAUGAUGCAGGAGAUGAUUAAAGAAACACAGAAAAAACAAGAACAGAAUAUACUAAAAUUAACCUACAAAGGAAAACCACACAGACUAGUGCAAGGGUGCAGUGAACCAAAAUCAUUGCAGUUUUCUUGCAAUUUCAGAUCACUGUUAAAAAUAGUGGUCAACAAGAUCAUUACUCACAGGCACUCUAAUGGUUUCGGCAUCUAACUAGCCUACCAAAAAAAAAAAAAAAGAGGUGAGAAAAACACCCAGUUCAUUGGAGAAAACAAAAGAUAAAGGCCAGUUUUAAGUUUCUUCUUAAAAAGUUGCCAACAAGGUAGACUCCCAUUGAGUAGGCUUUCAUAUCAUUCCACAGCUAGGGGGCUGCACUGGUGGUGGUAGGCUGCGUGAGCGCGCUGAACCACGAAGACCCAUUCAGAACUUUAGUACUGUACAUGUAUUACUGUAAAUCUAUUGCUGUUUCUGCGCAUCAUAUCCGGACAAGACACGUACACCUAUCUGUAAUAAGUGAGAGGAGCUAAUUUGCAAAAUAAGGUGAUUUUUAUCAUACUUGAGUGCGAUGUUUUUGCUUCAAAAAAUGUUGAAUGGGGUGCGAUCAAGUCUUUUCACCCUCCCCUAAAUACGCCACUGAAUGAGACGUUUAAGAUGUUGGUUCCAUGUAAAAAAUGGCCCAUACGCACGUUGAAUGGCUAGGUACACAUUCAUAAAACGACAGGAUUGUCCUUGUCAACGAAAGCCAAGAGUGAUGCACUGUCAGUCAUCAUUAUUGGUAUUAAAAAAAAACUGCAUUGCUCGAAUGAUCCACUAUUUCGAAAUGGGUUGAUAAUUUGUUUCUUGUUUUGUUUAGAGUGAGUAGUGGUUGACAAUAGACACUAACUUGAACUACAAAAAUAGCCAGGUGACCGAUUGACCCCGAUUUUUAAAAAGAUCACUGUGCAUGAUCAACAAAUUAAUUGUGCACAAUGAAGUACAGUGGCGGUGCUAGCGGGGGUCAAAGGACUCCCAUCGGGGACCUUUGGACUCCCGCUUAGACACCCUGUCGGAGAAUUUUCAGCAAGGUCAUCGGGGGAAAAAAUGAAACCUCAACCGCUGAAAAUACAAUCAUAUGCGGUGGUGGUGCCACAUCUUUCCCGACAGGGAGCUGGUACAGUACCUCCAACAGGCGGUUAGUAACCCCGACAGCGGGUGUCUUAACUUAGAUGGUUUUCUAUCAAAUUAUCCUUUUUUUAAAGAAUACCAUAAUCAACACAAUCCGACAGGGGAAGAAGGGGGUGCUAGGCUUCCACGACGUGACCAUUUGUCGGGUAGCUUGGAAAUCUUGUUGUGGAGCUUGGACCACUCGUCAGGGAAUUCCUGGCACCACCCCUGCUGAAGUAGAGCAAAAAAACUACUUGCUAGCAUUUAGGAUUUAUUUUGACAACACAAUAACUAUGGUGAAAUAUUUAAAUUACAGUACAUCUGUGGUUAAAAAAACUUAACCACAUUUGUUGUGUGCAUACGUUAUAUAAAUACUGUUACAUACACAAUAGCAUUUACACAUUGUUCAAAUGUGCUCAAAUUUCAGUGAAUAAAUUACGAUAAACCUUAUGCUUAACUAAGAAUGCAUAGCUUAGUGUAUUUAGUGAAUAAAAUACACUAAACCUUUAAUACAUAGUUAAGCAUUGGUUUUCAUUCCAAUUCAUUUUAAUAUUUUUAAGCAAGAGACCAAAUGAUCUAUGAAAUCUCUUGGUUAGUAAAUGCUUAGCUUCAAAAAUAAUUUGGGUCCCCUUUUGUUUUUACUAUGAAAUCACUCAUUCACAUAAACAUGGUCCAAUUUUGUUCAUUCAAUCUUAGCCAGAAGUACUAAUAAACAGUGAUAGGACUUGAAAGGAAACUUAUUAAUCAUGCCUGCUUUUGCCAUUAAAAAUAUACCAUCUGUGAUUAAAUUUUAAAAACUUGCAACUAAUUUCUCAUUAAAAAUUAUCACACAAGUUAUUUUAAAUUUUAAUGAAAAAUAUUGUAUUAUACUGUAGAAAUUACAUAUGUUCAAAUUUGUUCUACUUCUUAUUUUCAAUGCAAACUUUACUUCAUAUACCGUAUAAAACAACUUAAACAUUAAAUUUUGAUUUUCAAGUGAUCCUUUUUAGCUUAUCACAGAUGGUACACCUUUAAAAAUAAGUUCAUAUUUUAGGAGAAAAAAAAACACUGAAUGGUACAUUUGUGAAAAAUGGAUCUAUCCUCCUUGUUAUAUUGUAUGGUGAAUUAUUCUUUGAAGUUAACCCUUUUAAAAAUAUAAAUGUACAGUACUUUUUAAAAAAGCUCUUAAAAACAUAUGAAUGAAAGCCUUUCUUUAAAUUAAAGUUAAUCAUGAAAUAAAAAGGUAAGCAUGCAACAAAAUUGUAGCAUCUUAAUGUGUUAGUCAGAAGCCUGUUGCUGCCACCUAGCGUUUAACAGCAAGUUGAAAUUUACGAGGAACGUAAACCUUGUACCAUUGUCAACAUUUAUCAAAGAAAUUAUAGAUUUAAUCAACUGUUUAUUAGAUACUCCGAUUAUGGACAUUGUGUUUAUUGUACCUACAAUUUGAUAUUGGUUGCCCGCACACCACCCUAACUUGUUGUCACCCAGUCCCUUAUCACCCAUACAUACAGUCGUCACCCAUCCAAACCGUCGUCACACAUGCUUACACA
RNAcentral lists this long non-coding RNA (3213 nucleotides) under Anneissia japonica. RNAcentral describes it as "uncharacterized LOC117105222". Lineage: Eukaryota; Metazoa; Echinodermata; Crinoidea; Comatulida; Comatulidae. The record is from RNAcentral.